This 341-nucleotide ribosomal RNA is filed under the name uncultured rhodophyte. Its description in RNAcentral is "SSU rRNA". It matches the Rfam family "Eukaryotic small subunit ribosomal RNA", at positions 576 to 926 of the family's 1831-position model. The record is from RNAcentral. Lineage: Eukaryota; Rhodophyta.
GCGGUAAUUCCAGCUCAAUAAGCGUAUACCAACGUUGUUGCAGUUAAAACGCUCGUAGUCGAAUUUUGGCGAACGUCGCAAUCGCUCCGCGAGGAGUGCGUUGCUUCGGACGCCUUUGUGGAUGGGGGUCAGUGUUCCUUCAUUGGAAAUUACUGACUUCCGCCACCGUUUACUGUGAAAAAAUUAGAGUGUUCAAAGCAAGCGUUUGCCCUGAAUACAUUAGCAUGGAAUAAUAGAAUAGGACCUGGUCUUGUUCUGUUGGUUUGUCAUAAUCAGGUAAUGAUUAAGAGGGACGGUCGGGGGCAUUAGUACUCCAGAGCUAGAGGUGAAAUUCUCGGAUU